UACAGAGGGUGCGAGCGUUAAUCGGAAUUACUGGGCGUAAAGCGUGCGUAGACGGUAGCGUAAGUCAGAUGUGAAAGCCCCGGGCUCAACCUGGGAAUUGCAUUUGAGACUGCUCUGCUCGGGUGCGGAAGAGGGAAGCGGAAUUUCCGGUGUAGCGGUGAAAUGCGUAGAUAUCGGAAGGAACACCAGUGGCGAAGGCGACUCACUGGACACGUAUUGACGCUGAGGUGCGAAAGCGUGGGGAGCAAACAGG
RNAcentral lists this ribosomal RNA (253 nucleotides) under uncultured bacterium. Its description in RNAcentral is "partial 16S ribosomal RNA". It matches the Rfam family "Bacterial small subunit ribosomal RNA", at positions 524 to 776 of the family's 1533-position model. The record is from RNAcentral.